UACGUAGGCAGCGAGCGUUGUUCGGAGUUACUGGGCGUAAAGGGUGUGUAGGCGGCCUUCUAAGUUUGGUGUGAAAUCUCCCGGCUCAACCGGGAGGGUGCGCCGAAGACUGGGGGGCUAGAGUAUGGGAUGGGAAAGUGGAAUUCCUGGUGUAGCGGUGAAAUGCGUAGAUAUCAGGAGGAACACCUGUGGUGUAGACGGCUCUCUGGACAGUAACUGACGCUGAGACACGAAAGCGUGGGUAG
This 245-nucleotide ribosomal RNA is filed under the name uncultured bacterium. RNAcentral describes it as "partial 16S ribosomal RNA". It matches the Rfam family "Bacterial small subunit ribosomal RNA", at positions 524 to 768 of the family's 1533-position model. The record is from RNAcentral.